AUUGAACGCUGGCGGCAUGCUUUACACAUGCAAGUCGAACGGCAGCGCGGGCUUCGGCCUGGCGGCGAGUGGCGAACGGGUGAGUAAUGCAUCGGAACGUGCCCAGUAGUGGGGGAUAGCCCGGCGACAGCCGGAUUAAUACCGCAUACGACCUGAGGGUGAAAGCGGGGGACCGAAAGGCCUCGCGCUAUUGGAGCGGCCGAUGUCGGAUUAGCUAGUUGGUGGGGUAAAGGCUUACCAAGGCGACGAUCCGUAGCUGGUCUGAGAGGACGACCAGCCACACUGGGACUGAGACACGGCCCAGACUCCUACGGGAGGCAGCAGUGGGGAAUUCUGGACAAUGGGGGCAACCCUGAUCCAGCCAUGCCGCGUGCGAGAAGAAGGCCUUCGGGUUGUAAACCGCUUUUGUUCGGGAAGAAAUCCUCUGGGCUAAUACCCCGGGGGGAUGACGGUACCGGAAGAAUAAGCACCGGCUAACUACGUG
This 484-nucleotide ribosomal RNA is filed under the name uncultured bacterium. Its description in RNAcentral is "partial 16S ribosomal RNA". It matches the Rfam family "Bacterial small subunit ribosomal RNA", at positions 28 to 507 of the family's 1533-position model. The record is from RNAcentral.